Molecule: unclassified non-coding RNA, 431 nt
Filed under: soil metagenome
Description: partial contains 5.8S ribosomal RNA, internal transcribed spacer 2, and large subunit ribosomal RNA
Rfam family: 5.8S ribosomal RNA (bases 1-120)
Source: RNAcentral
GAUGAAGAACGUAGCGAAAUGCGAUACGUAAUGUGAAUUGCAGAAUUCAGUGAAUCAUCGAAUCUUUGAACGCAUAUUGCGCUCUCUGGUAUUCCGGAGAGCAUGCUUGUUUGAGUAUCAGUAAACACCUCAACUUCCAUAUCUUUUUUGAAAUGGGAGUUGGACUUGAGUGAUCCCAACGCUUUUCCUCACCGAAAAGUGGCGGGUUACUUGAAAUGCAGGUGCAGCUGGACUUUUCUCUGAGCUAUAAGCAUAUCUAUUUAGUCUGCCUAAAAAACAGAUUAUUACCUUUGCUGCAGCUAACAUAAAGGAGAUUAGUUCUUGUGCUGACUGAUGCAGGAUUCACAAAGACGGCUUCGGCCGACUUUGUAAACUCGAUCUCAAAUCAAGUAAGACUACCCGCUGAACUUAAGCAUAUCAAUAAGCGGGGA